UUGUAAAGCGGCGAACGGGUGAGGAAUACAUGGGUAAUCUACCAUCGAGUGGGGAAUAACCAGCCGAAAGGUUGGCUAAUACCGCGUACGCUUCCGGGUCUUCGGAUUCGGAAGGAAAGCCGCGCUGUGAGUGCGGCGCUCUUUGAUGAGCUCAUGUCCUAUCAGCUUGUUGGUAGGGUAACGGCCUACCAAGGCUUUGACGGGUAGCUGGUCUGAGAGGACGAUCAGCCACACUGGCACUGCGACACGGGCCAGACUCCUACGGGAGGCAGCAGUAAGGAAUAUUGCGCAAUGGGCGAAAGCCUGACGCAGCGACGCCGCGUGGGGGAUGAAGGUCUUCGGAUUGUAAACCCCUUUCGGGAGGGAAGAUGGAGCGAGCAAUCGUUCGGACGGUACCUCCAGAAGCAGCCACGGCCAACUUCGUGCCAGCAGCCGCGGUAAUACGAAGGUGGCAAGCGUUGUUCGGAUUCACUGGGCGUACAGGGUGUGUAGGCGGUUUGGUAAGCCUUCUGUUAAAGCUUCGGGCCCAACCCGGAAAGCGCAGAGGGUACUGCCAGGCUAGAGGGUGGGAGAGGAGCGCGGAAUUCCCGGUGUAGCGGUGAAAUGCGUAGAGAUCGGGAGGAAGGCCGGUGGCGAAGGCGGCGCUCUGGAACAUACCUGACGCUGAGACACGAAAGCGUGGGGAGCAAACAGGAUUAGAUACCCUGGUAGUCCACGCCCUAAACUAUGGAUACUAAGUGUCGGCGGGUUACCGCCGGUGCCGCAGCUAACGCAUUAAGUAUCCCGCCUGGGGAAGUACGGCCGCAAGGUUGAAACUCAAAGGAAUUGACGGGGGGCCCGCACAAGCGGGGGGAGCAUGGGGGUUUAAUUCCGACGCAACGCCGAAGAACCUUUACCCAGGGUUGGACAUGGCCCGUAAGUAGAAAGGGGU
This 931-nucleotide ribosomal RNA is filed under the name uncultured bacterium. Its description in RNAcentral is "bacterial SSU rRNA". It matches the Rfam family "Bacterial small subunit ribosomal RNA", at positions 88 to 1007 of the family's 1533-position model. The record is from RNAcentral.